This 460-nucleotide ribosomal RNA is filed under the name uncultured bacterium. Its description in RNAcentral is "partial 16S ribosomal RNA". It matches the Rfam family "Bacterial small subunit ribosomal RNA", at positions 338 to 795 of the family's 1533-position model. The record is from RNAcentral.
CCUACGGGAGGCUGCAGUGAGGAAUAUUGGUCAAUGGGCUUACGCCUGAACCAGCCAAGUCGCGUGAGGGAAGACUGCCCUAUGGGUUGUAAACCUCUUUUGUCAGGGAGCAACGCCGGCUACGUGUAGCCGGACUGAGAGUACCUGAAGAAAAAGCAUCGGCUAACUCCGUGCCAGCAGCCGCGGUAAUACGGAGGAUGCGAGCGUUAUCCGGAUUGAUUGGGUUUAAAGGGUGCGUAGGCGGACUGCCAAGUCAGCGGUAAAAUCGCGGGGCUCAACCUCGCUCCGCCGUUGAAACUGGCGUUCUUGAGUGGGCGAGAAGUAUGCGGAAUGCGUGGUGUAGCGGUGAAAUGCAUAGAUAUCACGCAGAACUCCGAUUGCGAAGGCAGCAUACCGGCGCCCAACUGACGCUGAAGCACGAAAGCGUGGGUAUCGAACAGGAUUAGAUACCCUAGUAGUC